AGUAACGGCGAGUGAAGCGGGAAAAGCUCAAAUUUAAAAUCUGGCAGUCUUUGGCUGUCCGAGUUGUAAUCUAGAGAAGCAUUAUCCGCGCUGGGCCGUGUACAAGUCUCCUGGAAUGGGGCGUCAUAGAGGGUGAGAACCCCGUCCUUGACCCGGGCUGCCGGGGCUUUUGUGAUGUGCUCUCAAAGAGUCGAGUUGUUUGGGA
Molecule: ribosomal RNA, 205 nt
Filed under: Calonarius sulfurinus
Lineage: Eukaryota; Fungi; Basidiomycota; Agaricomycetes; Agaricales; Cortinariaceae
Description: Cortinarius sulphurinus partial large subunit ribosomal RNA
Rfam family: Eukaryotic large subunit ribosomal RNA
Source: RNAcentral